GGUUCCUAGCGAGCCCAACCUCCCACCCGUGUUUACUGUACCUUAGUUGCUUCGGCGGGCCCGCCAUUCAUGGCCGCCGGGGGCUCUCAGCCCCGGGCCCGCGCCCGCCGGAGACACCACGAACUCUGUCUGAUCUAGUGAAGUCUGAGUUGAUUGUAUCGCAAUCAGUUAAAACUUUCAACAAUGGAUCUCUUGGUUCCGGCAUCGAUGAAGAACGCAGCGAAAUGCGAUAACUAGUGUGAAUUGCAGAAUUCCGUGAAUCAUCGAGUCUUUGAACGCACAUUGCGCCCCCUGGUAUUCCGGGGGGCAUGCCUGUCCGAGCGUCAUUGCUGCCCAUCAAGCACGGCUUGUGUGUUGGGUCGUCGUCCCCUCUCCGGGGGGGACGGGCCCCAAAGGCAGCGGCGGCACCGCGUCCGAUCCUCGAGCGUAUGGGGCUUUGUCACCCGCUCUGUAGGCCCGGCCGGCGCUUGCCGAACGCAAAUCAAUCUUUUCCAGGUUGACCUCGGAUCAGGUAGGGAUACCCGCUGAACUUAAGCAUAUCAAUAGCCCGGAGGAAAGAUC
RNAcentral lists this ribosomal RNA (561 nucleotides) under fungal sp. ZDY2-1-1. RNAcentral describes it as "eukaryotic LSU rRNA". The stretch from base 173 to 326 matches the Rfam family "5.8S ribosomal RNA". The record is from RNAcentral. Lineage: Eukaryota; Fungi.